AAACCAGCACCUCAAGUGGUCAGGAGGAUUAUUGGGCCUAAAGCAUCCGUAGCCUGCUCUGUAAGUUUUCGGUUAAAUCUGUACGCUCAACGUACAGGCUGCCGGGAAUACUGCAGAGCUAGGGAGUGGGAGAGGUAGACGGUACUCGGGAGGAAGUGGUAAAAUGCUUUGAUCUCUCGAUGACCACCUGUGGCGAAGGCGGUCUACCAGAACACGUCCGACGGUGAGGGAUGAAAGCUGGGGGAGCAAACCGGAUUAGAAACCCGAGUAGUCC
RNAcentral lists this ribosomal RNA (274 nucleotides) under uncultured bacterium. Its description in RNAcentral is "partial 16S ribosomal RNA". It matches the Rfam family "Archaeal small subunit ribosomal RNA", at positions 473 to 747 of the family's 1478-position model. The record is from RNAcentral.